Molecule: small nucleolar RNA, 242 nt
Filed under: Trichophyton rubrum BMU01672
Lineage: Eukaryota; Fungi; Ascomycota; Eurotiomycetes; Onygenales; Arthrodermataceae
Description: CD-box snoRNA
Source: RNAcentral
AUCCCUCAGAAUAUAUAUCAUCACUGGGAUUGCUAGCAGAACAGAAAGGCAAGUGAUAAGUGUUCACAACCUCUGAGCCUCAAGCAAUGAUGAGUGGUGUGUGUACUUUGAUGCCGGCCAUUUGGCUGACAGACCUUGCUUCUCGGAAUAAUAGGUAUAGGCAUCCCUCAGAAUAUAUAUCAUCAUUGGGAUUGCUAGCAGAACAGAAAGGCAAGUGAUAAGUGUCCUAUACCUCUGAGCCU